Molecule: ribosomal RNA, 440 nt
Filed under: uncultured bacterium
Lineage: Bacteria
Description: partial 16S ribosomal RNA
Rfam family: Bacterial small subunit ribosomal RNA
Source: RNAcentral
CCUACGGGAGGCAGCAGUGGGGAAUAUUGCACAAUGGGGGAAACCCUGAUGCAGCGACGCCGCGUGAGUGAUGAAGUAUUUCGGUAUGUAAAGCUCUAUCAGCAGGGAAGAUAAUGACGGUACCUGACUAAGAAGCUCCGGCUAAAUACGUGCCAGCAGCCGCGGUAAUACGUAUGGAGCAAGCGUUAUCCGGAUUUACUGGGUGUAAGGGGAGCGCAGACGGCAGGGCAAGUCUGAUGUGAAAGUCCGGGGCUCAACCCCGGGACUGCAUUGGAAACUGUCCGGCUAGAGUGCAGGAGAGGUAAGUGGAAUUCCUAGUGUAGCGGUGAAAUGCGUAGAUAUUAGGAGGAACACCAGUGGCGAAGGCGGCUUACUGGACUGUAACUGACGUUGAGGCUCGAAAGCGUGGGGAGCAAACAGGAUUAGAUACCCCAGUAGUC